AUUGAACGCUGGCGGCAUGCCUUACACAUGCAAGUCGAACGGCAGCACGGGUGCUUGCACCUGGUGGCGAGUGGCGAACGGGUGAGUAAUACAUCGGAACAUGUCCUGUAGUGGGGGAUAGCCCGGCGAAAGCCGGAUUAAUACCGCAUACGAUCUACGGAUGAAAGCGGGGGACCUUCGGGCCUCGCGCUAUAGGGUUGGCCGAUGGCUGAUUAGCUAGUUGGUGGGGUAAAGGCCUACCAAGGCGACGAUCAGUAGAUGGUCUGAGAGGACGACCAGCCACACUGGGACUGAGACACGGCCCAGACUCCGACGGGAGGCAGCAGUGGGGAAUUUUGGACAAUGGGCGAAAGCCUGAUCCAGCAAUGCCGCGUGUGUGAAGAAGGCCUUCGGGUUGUAAAGCACUUUUGUCCGGAAAGAAAUCCUUGGCUCUAAUACAGUCGGGGGAUGACGGUACCGGAAGAAUAAGCACCGGCUAACUACGUG
RNAcentral lists this ribosomal RNA (486 nucleotides) under uncultured bacterium. RNAcentral's name for it is "partial 16S ribosomal RNA". It matches the Rfam family "Bacterial small subunit ribosomal RNA", at positions 30 to 507 of the family's 1533-position model. The record is from RNAcentral.